Molecule: transfer RNA, 30 nt
Filed under: Androsace vitaliana
Lineage: Eukaryota; Viridiplantae; Streptophyta; Magnoliopsida; Ericales; Primulaceae
Description: partial tRNA-Ser
Source: RNAcentral
CGGGGCUAUCAACCACUCAGCCAUCUCUCC